GCACAGAUAGUGUAACGGUAACAUCGCGGUCUCCAAAAUCGCUGUUCUAGGUUCAAAUCCUAGUCUGUGCG
This 71-nucleotide transfer RNA is filed under the name Coleofasciculaceae cyanobacterium SM2_3_26. RNAcentral describes it as "tRNA-Trp". It matches the Rfam family "tRNA". From Rfam's summary of the family: Transfer RNA (tRNA) molecules are approximately 80 nucleotides in length. Their secondary structure includes four short double-helical elements and three loops (D, anti-codon, and T loops). Lineage: Bacteria; Bacillati; Cyanobacteriota; Cyanophyceae; Coleofasciculales; Coleofasciculaceae. The record is from RNAcentral.